GCACCAUUAGCUCAGCUGGUAGAGCACCUGACUCUUAAUCAGGGUGUCCUGGGUUCGAGUCCCCGAUGGUGCACCA
RNAcentral lists this transfer RNA (76 nucleotides) under Thermoclostridium stercorarium. RNAcentral describes it as "tRNA-Lys". It matches the Rfam family "tRNA". From Rfam's summary of the family: Transfer RNA (tRNA) molecules are approximately 80 nucleotides in length. RNAcentral also lists the same sequence under 3 other names. The record is from RNAcentral. Lineage: Bacteria; Bacillati; Bacillota; Clostridia; Eubacteriales; Oscillospiraceae.